RNAcentral lists this unclassified non-coding RNA (86 nucleotides) under Pseudomonas fragi. The record is from RNAcentral. Lineage: Bacteria; Pseudomonadati; Pseudomonadota; Gammaproteobacteria; Pseudomonadales; Pseudomonadaceae.
UGUGGGAGCGGGCUUGCUCGCGAUACAAACGCCGCGGUUUCCAAUAAAACCCCGGCAAUGCUAUCGCGAGCAAGCCCGCUCCCACA